UGCCAGCAGCCGCGGUAAUACGUAGGUGGCGAGCGUUAUUCGGAUUUAUUGGGUUUAAAGGGUUCGUAGGCGGAAAGAUAAGUCAGUGGUGAAAGCCUGUGGCUCAACCAUAGAAUUGCCAUUGAUACUGUCUUUCUUGAGUGCACAUGAAGUGGGCGGAAUGUGUCGUGUAGCGGUGAAAUGCUUAGAUAUGACACAGAACACCGAUUGCGAAGGCAGCUCACUAAAGUGUGACUGACGCUGAGGAACGAAAGCGUGGGGAGCGAACAGGAUUAGAUA
Molecule: ribosomal RNA, 279 nt
Filed under: uncultured bacterium
Lineage: Bacteria
Description: partial 16S ribosomal RNA
Rfam family: Bacterial small subunit ribosomal RNA
Source: RNAcentral